This 104-nucleotide ribosomal RNA is filed under the name uncultured bacterium. Its description in RNAcentral is "partial 16S ribosomal RNA". It matches the Rfam family "Bacterial small subunit ribosomal RNA", at positions 1379 to 1482 of the family's 1533-position model. The record is from RNAcentral.
CCUUGUACACACCGCCCGUCACACCACGGGAGUGGGUUUCACCAGAAGCCGGUUGCCUAACCGCGAGGGAGGCGCCGACCACGGUGAGAUUCAUGACUGGGGUG